UCAUUCGGAUUCGCCAUCAUACGUCCAACCGUGCAUUUGAUAUGCAUAUAUAUGCAUCACGAGCCACGGUUGGGCUGUAUGAUGACGAUACCGAUUGG
Molecule: microRNA precursor, 98 nt
Filed under: Triticum turgidum subsp. durum (durum wheat)
Lineage: Eukaryota; Viridiplantae; Streptophyta; Magnoliopsida; Poales; Poaceae
Also listed under: 1 other name
Description: Triticum durum (durum wheat) MIR9666 microRNA precursor family
Rfam family: MIR9666 microRNA precursor family
Source: Rfam by way of RNAcentral